UAUUCCUGAAUGAACAGCUCAGGCCCCCUGCCACUUGUCAGUGUCACCUCAGGCUGCAGCCAGUUUCUAUAGCGACGGCACUGAUCCAGGGCUCCAGAGUAGUAACAAAGCCUGUUCCCUGCUCUCAGACACUCGCUGCUGCUGAGGCUGAGGGAGGACGAGGGCACCGUCUCCUGAAGAAACCCUGCCUGCAGCACUCAAAACAGCAUGUCCAAUGGAUCAUUCCCAUAUGAAUACAAACAUCUGCAUGAUGACUAAUGUAGUCAUGGGCCAACUUAGCGCCUCUUCACUAUUUUUACAUUUGCGUGAUCACUCAAACACCAGGAAGACCACAAUGGAGGCGCGCAUCUUAGCUUUAUCCUAUGAUCAAAUCAAUGUCUUACAGACAGCACAGUAA
Molecule: long non-coding RNA, 397 nt
Filed under: Chrysemys picta bellii (western painted turtle)
Lineage: Eukaryota; Metazoa; Chordata; Testudines; Emydidae
Description: lncRNA (ENSCPBG00000022355.1)
Source: RNAcentral